GACGAACGCUGGCGGCGUGCUUAACACAUGCAAGUCGAACGGAAAGGCCCUGCUUUUGUGGGGUGCUCGAGUGGCGAACGGGUGAGUAACACGUGAGUAACCUGCCCUUGACUUUGGGAUAACUUCAGGAAACUGCGGCUAAUACCGGAUAGGAGCUCCUGCUGCAUGGUGGGGGUUGGAAAGUUUCGGCGGUUGGGGAUGGACUCGCGGCUUAUCAGCUUGUUGGUGGGGUAGUGGCUUACCAAGGCUUUGACGGGUAGCCGGCCUGAGAGGGUGACCGGCCAAAUUGGGACUGAGAUACGGCCCAGACUGCUACGGGAGGCAGCAGUGGGGAAUAUUACGCAAUGAGCGGAAGCAGGAGGCAGAAGCGCCGAGUGCGGGAUGACGGCCUUCGAGUUGUAAACAGCUUUCGCAUGUGACGAAGCGUGCGUGACGGUAAUGGGUAAAGAAGCACCGGCUAACUACGUG
RNAcentral lists this ribosomal RNA (468 nucleotides) under uncultured bacterium. RNAcentral describes it as "partial 16S ribosomal RNA". It matches the Rfam family "Bacterial small subunit ribosomal RNA", at positions 28 to 507 of the family's 1533-position model. The record is from RNAcentral.